CCUUGAAAAUGAAUGGCGCAUAUAGUAAUACCGAUAUUAUACAUUAAAAUUAUUUCAAAAUUUUAAAAGUAGGGGGAUGUGGAUAUCUUAGAGAAUUUUUAAUUGUAAAAUUGAAUUGAAAGAUAUCUAUUACAGAUCCUAAUUGAAGUAGCGAUUAUCCAGGUUAAUCUCCUGGGGGCUGAUGAGGAGUAGGGUUUCUGGGCAACUUAAACGGACCCAGAGUUAGUCGAUCCUAAUCAAAUUAAAUUUAGAGAAAGGGAAUAUGAAUGAUAUUUCAUAACUAAAAUUAAUUUUUAAAUGGUGACAUUUUUUUAAACUUAUUUCCAUCAAUUAAAUACUGUUUAAUAGGGAUUUCUUUCCUAUAUAACUUUUUAAUUAAAACUUAAGAAACAGGUUAACUGGAGAAUAAAGUUUUAAUUUAGUAAAAUUAUAAUUUCGAUUAUAAUAACGGCUAUUUAAAUGAUCCAUGAAACGAUAAGUUUAUUUUUUCAAAAAUUAAUUUAAUCGUACCGAUAACCGCAUCAGGUCUCCAAGGUGAGUAGCUUCUGGCCAUUGAGUAAUGGUAAUUUAGGGAAUUCGGCCAAUUAGAGCUGUAACUUCGGGAUAAAGCUUGGCUCUGAUGGAAAUCAGAACCGAUAGUUACAAGGAGAGCCCAACUGUUUAAUAAAAACUUAGUGUCGCGUCAUACCUUUAUAAGUAAUAAACGUGACAUGAAUCCUGCUCAGUGCUGUGUUUGUUAAACUGGAUUAAUCCAUUUAAGCGCCGGUAAAUAGCUGGGGUAACUAUGACUCUUAUCAAAGUAGCGAAAUACCUCGUCACUUAAUUAGUGACCUGCAUGAACGGAGCUAUGAGGUUCUCACUGUCCCAAAUUAUCACUCAGCGAACCAACAGUUGUGGGAACGGGCACAAAUUAUCCAGCGGGGAAAGAAGACCCUGUAGAGCUUCACUUUGGUCUAAUCUUGUAUAGUUUCGUUAGGGGUGCAGUCUAGGUGGGAGAUUUUUAAUCAAAUAUGAGAAACCACUACCCUUUCUGGAAUUAUACUUACUAAAAUUCUUUUCUAAAUUUUAGGAUCGGAUUAGAUAGAAAGUUUGGCUGGGGCGGCACACCUUCGAAAAAGCAGCGAAGGUGUCCUAAGUUAAGCUCAGUAAGGACAGAAAUCUUACGUUGAGGAUAAGGCCAAAAGCUUAAUUUACUGUGCCUUUUUGUACUAGGAUCAGUUUGGAAACAAAGGCCUAACGAUCCCUAAUUAGUCUUAGGUGUGUAAGACUUGGGGUGACAGACAAGUUACCUCCGGGACAACUGGCUUGUGGCUGCUAAGAGAUCAAAUCAACGCAGCUUUUUGAUUCUUCGAUGUCGGCUCUUCCUAUCCUAGUGAUGUACAAGUCACUAAGGGUUGGAUUGUUCACCCGUAUUAGGGAUCGUGAGCUGGGUUUAGACCGUCGUGAGCCAGGUUUGUUUUAUCCUACUGGAUAUAAUUUAGCAUCUUGAUAGUAGUUUGAUUUAGUACGAGAGGAACUGUUGAAUAUGGUCUCUGGUUUGGGAAUUUUAUGAAAAUAAAAGUUCCAAAGCUACGCCGUCUGAGAUAAUGGCUGAAGGCCUCUUAAGCCAGAAACUCAUCUAAAAAUAGAUGCUUUAAACUAUUUAAAAGAAUUAAAUUUAAAAUAUUUUUUUUAUUAAAAUUUGUUAAUAAUUCUUUAGUUUAAAUGACCAAAUGUAGAAGACGUUUUGUCAACAAGGGUCCUGUAAGUGUGAGAGUGGCAUUU
Molecule: ribosomal RNA, 1764 nt
Filed under: human gut metagenome
Description: eukaryotic LSU rRNA
Rfam family: Eukaryotic large subunit ribosomal RNA
Source: RNAcentral